UAUCUCUAUAUUAAAAUAGAGAAAUUGUUCAAUACAACACGCCUUGACGGUGCUCUAAGAAGUCAAUAAAGUUUUACAUAGAUGUUCAGAUCAUCCCUAAUGUACUAUAGGCUAAGCUAUUACACUGGAUAGAGACCAACCAAACUUGCAGCGCUGGCCAAAAGGCCUAAGCCCGUGCAGCCGAGCGGCGACGCUGCUGGUGCGCGCCUACCUCGCCAGCCUUGCAUACGAUAUGAGCGGAGUCAUCGUUAAAGAUUUCAUCAUACGCCAUCUUGGUGACAUCGACGGAGAUGGGCUUCCCGCUGGAUUUAAUAUAUAAAAAUCAAAAGAAUAUAGAUUUAGGUCACACUACACUCACUGCGUGAAAAACUUACGUCCCCCCACAUUUGUCAUCAUUACAGUGACUGGGCCAGCAACCAGGAAGUCAGCCGCCCUUGCAGUGUUCUCUGUAGGGGCUGGUGUUACCAGCCGCCCUUACAGUGGGGGAGGCACUGUAGAGGCGGCUGGUGUUACUAGCCGCCCCUACAGUGGUGUAGCAUAUAUAAGUGGCCAGUCCACUAUUCCUCCUCCCCGAGCCACUCACUUCCACUCGAAAAAAAGACUUGGGAAGCCUUGGGCACCUCCCUAAAAUCACUCUAGGAAGGAGGAGGUUUUGAACUUAAAUCCUUUGGUGGAGAGCUUGUUUAAGGUAAGAAAAUGCUAUUCCCACCCUCUAAUCUAAGUUUUAUUGGUUGGUUAGUGAGCAAUUUAUAUUUUGGUUUUCUCUCUCUUUCAUGGAGCUUGAGCUUUGUGUUGACCAAAUUAGAGCUUAUCUUUGAUGUUAUUAGUGUAGAAUAAGUAGAGACAUCACCUUGCACCAUCAAUUAGAUGAUAUAGCUUGAUUUUAAUUGAGAUUAAUUGUAGUUUUAUGUAUGGAGAGAAAAGGCAUUCUAGAUCUAGGGUUUCUUUUUUUUGUUUUUGUUUCAUAAAAUUGGAAUGUGGUUGGCAUGAAUAGUUAUUGGUAAACUAAUAGUUGUUGCUAAUAUUAAUUGUUUCUAAUAAUGGUAGAUAAUAAUUGGUACUAUUAAUUAUGUCUAAUUAUCGUUUCUAACACAAUUAUUGCUAAUAAUGAUAGCUAAUAAUUGUUGCUAAUAAUGGUAGAUAAUAAUUGUUACUUAUUAAUUGUUGCUAAUAAUGGUAGCUAAUAAUUGUUGCUAAUAAUUAUUCUCAAGUAAUUAAUUUAUUUUUUUUAUUUAUGUAAAGAUGGAGAACAAGCCUACUUGGAUCUACAGUACUAUAUAUAUAGCUGCACGUACGCCUGCUCUGUACGGGAUUCUCAAAUCCCAUAUCAAAAUAGUCUCAAAGUCUUGUACUCUAAAGAAAAAAAAAGACCAACAACAUAGUUUGACGUAGAUGACACUGAUGUCAAGUCGUCUCUCGGAAACGCUGGAAACAAAGUGCGUGAGUCGCCGGCUGCCUAGCCAUUGCCGCGUAGCUAUUCACGUCGAGUAGUCGGAGUCGACGACGGGCGUGACACACAUCGACGAAACACAGCCCUGAAGGCUGAAGCAGCGGAGGCAAAUCGACUUGCCUGUAUAUAUGCAUAUUUCUUACUGAGCUAGAGGUCUCAUAAACCUAUAAGCAAGACUAAUAAUACUCUACUUGCUGGCCGUAAAAUAUCAGCCCUAUAUCAUCCACUUAUCUCUCUUAUGAAGUCACCAAAGUCCUCACUUUAAGAUUGACAAGAGUGGUGGAUAAGCUGAUUAGUCCCUUUCAAACAGCUUUUAUUCCAGGGAGAAAUAUUUUAGAGGGAGUAGUGAUUGCCCAAGAGGUGCUGCACGAAAUGAGAGUGAAAAAAAUACCUAGAAUUAUUCUGAAACUGGACCUUGAGAAAGCUUAUGACAAAGUUAGUCGGUCCUUUUUGGAAAAAGUUAUGAGAGCAAAAGGCUUUGGAGAGAGGUGGAUACAUUGGAUCAAUUGUGUUGUCAGAGGUGGUAGAGUGUGUAUUGAUGUCAAUGGUGAACGAGGAGAAUUCUUUAGAAGUUUCAAGGGUUUGAGACAAGGAGACCCUCUAUCCCCUCUACUGUUUAAUCUGGUUGCGGAUGCUCUCUCUGCUAUGCUGUCCAGAGCAAGUGUGUCAGGCAUAAUUCAGGGGCUGGUUCCAAAUCUAAUUGAUGGUGGUUUAACCCACUUACAGUAUGCAGAUGACACAGUUAUUUUUCUGAGUUUUUCUCUAGAGAAUGUGAGAAAUUUGAGAUUAAUCCUUAAUUGCUACGAGGCAAUGUCGGGGAUGAAAAUAAACUUUGACAAAAAUGAGGUAUACACAAUGGGUGUGACUGAGGAAGAUCAACAGGAAGUUACUAGAGUUCUUAAUUGUAAAAUGGGCUCUUUUCCAAUGAAGUAUCUAGGAAUGCCGGUUAGUGACUGUAAGAUAACUAAAGCACAAUUCAAAUAUGUCAGUGACAAAGCUGAAAAACGGCUAGGGACUUGGCAGUGUGAUUAUUUGUCUUCAGGAGGCAGGUCCAUCUUGAUUGAGUCCUGUUUAUCUGCUAUCCCUAUGUACACGAUGGGUGUGUACCAGCUGUAUGAAGGAAACUACCAGGCUAUUGACUUUAUUAGAUCGAGAUUCUAUUGGCAAGGUACUGGUAAAAAACGUAAGUAUCAAAUGAUCAAAUGGGAAGCUUUAAGUAGACCUAAAGAAGCUGGAGGUUUGGGUUUCAUGGAUGUUAGAGCUAUGAAUAUUAGCUUGCUUGCAAAAUGGAUUGACAGAUUAGAGAGAGAAGACAACAAUAUAUGCUGUAAUCUUCUAAGAAAGAAAUAUUUGGGGGAGAAGAGUAUCUUCCAAAUUAGAAGUAGACAGGGUUCCCAAUUUUGGAGGUCUUUACUUGGCAUUCGAGACUGGUUCCAGAGGGACAAAAUUAUUCAAGUAGUCAGUGGCCGUCAAACGCGUUUCUGGCAAGACUGCUGGUUAGGGGAAUGUCCUUUGAAGGUCUUUUUCCCCAAUAUCUUUAGUAUCGCGUUGCAUCCUGAUAUAGAUGUUUACCAGGCCUUUACUGAGGGACAAUGGCGUGUUCUUUUUAGAAGACAACUCCAGGGGAUUUAUGGAGCGGAGUGGGAACAGUUACAAGAGAUGCUGAUAGAGGUUAACUUGGGAGUAGGUAGAGAUAAAAUGUUUUGGGCCUUAGAACAAUCCAGAAAAUACACCUCAGGUUCCUUAUAUAGAGCUAUUACGUUUGGUGGUGUUAGAGAUCAGCGUUUGAUGAAUGUGUGGAAAUGUAAUAUCCCUCUGAAAGUCAAGAUUUUUAUCUGGAUGGCGGCGCAUGAUAGAAUCCAAUCAAGGGUUCAGCUUAAGAAAAAACAGUGGUCAGGGCGGAGGAAUGUGCUGCUUGUGAUAGUUUAGAAACAACAGAUCACAUUUUAUUCCAGUGCCCACUUGCAGUGUAUCUUUGGUCAUUCUUGAGAGUUUCUUUGAGCUGGUCGGCCUCUCCGACCAAUUGCACAGAUUUCCUAAUGGAGUUUGCUGAAGAUUGUAGAGGUGCUAAGCGCAAGGUGACACUUUUUAUAUGUGCAGGUGCGUUAUGAACAAUCUGGAAGACGAGGAAUGACAUGGCUAUCAACAAGAAGAUUGUUUCGUCUCCCAAGGUGAUCAUCUUCAAGACACUGAUGCUGAUCAAAACAUGGCGCCCACUUUUAAAAGCGAAGCUGGAUCCUACAGCGAACGAGAUGAUCAAUCUGCUAGACUCCAACUUACAGUAGCGUUUUCUUUGUUGGUGUUGGGUGUCCGCUUUUAGAGUGUUUUUUUGGUUGACCGUUGGGUGUCUGUUGGUCUCUUUUGUUUCAGAUGCUUUAGCUUGGGCCUUAGAGGUUUUUGGAUUGUGUCGAGUUCUGAGUUACCCUGUUCAGGUGUGCCUUUUUGUAAACUAGAAACCCCAGUGCUCAGACCUUGGGUGAUUGUUACGCUUUUCUAAUAAAGCUGGGUGAACGCCUUUGGUCUAAAAAAAUCUCUCUUGUGAAGUUUCUUGGUUUAUGUGCUUAAGCUGGCGGUAAGCUUGCAGUCUGCUCCUCCUCUCUCUCCUCUCCUCUCUCCUCUACCUCAACAUUUAGUCAGCUUACAGCCAGUUACCAUACUUGCUCUCAGGAAUUAGGCCCCUUGCUUUUUAAGGCCCGGUGCGGCCGCCUAGCUUGACCCACCUCAGGGCCAGCCAUAGUCAAACUCAUCGUGUUGAAGUUGUUGACAAACAAGGCGUCCAUGGGGACUGUUGUUGGGGUUGUUGGACCUGAAGGAGGGUACCCGAGUGGGCGCACCAGCUGAGGCUCCCUGCAAACCGGGUCUGGCGCCGAAGCCGGUAACAUAUACGAUAGCCAGCCCGUUGGAGCACCCUAGGGCAGUAUGGAGUGCGGCAGCGCAACAAGCGGGUGGUGGCAGCAGCGUGCUCGCCCUGAGCGGAUCGCGGAUGCACAGUCAAGUGGUUCAGACCAGAUCACGAGCCGACGCGGAAGAUAGGCGCGAGCAGCUAGCAAACACGUGCUUUAUCGUGUGGGGAGCAGGCACCUAAAGCACUCAUAAUACAGAAACCAUCGUAAUUUCUAUAAACAUUAAUUGUAUUACUGUCUAAGUAUUCUACUGAUGUGACAAGGUAUUAUUGAAGAGAGACAGAGAACAAAAAUCAUAGAAAACGGAUCUAUGUUAAAAACCAUAUCUAUACGAGAACUAAGACAUAAAGUAAUAUGAUUGAUCGAGAAUGGAGAAAGAAUGAAUGUGAUUGGAGAAAAAAAUAGUAGAGACUAUCCAUGUGGUUUCUAUAUGUAGUAUAUGUAGUGUCCAUAGAAAUUAAUAAAUAUAGAAACUACUUGUAAUUUCUAACAUUGGGACUGCCCUUAGCAGACAUGGAGGUGAUGUGCAGCUGCAUGAGAGGGAGAGAUUGGAUACACAGAAAACCUAAGUGUUCGUAUUUAUAUAAGCUCGAUAGAGAAGUCCGAUAUGGGCUCUUUGGCUAGGUUUCCCAGGCAAACCUCUUAAGAGGACUAUCUAAAAAAUGCUCUCUAUUUUCUGAGCUAAACUUCUUAAAACGUCACCUCUAUAAAUUAAUUUUAGGCGAUGGUUAUUUUGCAACCAUCUAUGUAAAUCAAUUUUACAAUACAGCCAUUUGUGACUGCCACUUAUCUACCUCUAUGAUCACCUCCAUAAAUAAAAACUUCCACCUCUAAAAAUCCUCAAGCAUUUUAAGAGACGGUUGAAUUUUCUAACCGUCUCGAUUAUUGUUUUAGGUGGGUAUUAUAUUAUAAAAUCGUUUGUGUAGUAGUGUAUUGAAGAUGUUUUAUAUAGUGUGCACCUCCAAAAAUCAAUUUAUAAAGAUGGACGUCUCAAGAUAACCAUCUCUAUUAGUCGAUGAUUUUCUGAGGCAGAGGCCUGCCUCUGUAACACGGAUGGUUGCUAGUUGUACCUGCCUCGUUAAUAGAGAUCUUAUCUCCUCAAAUCAUUUUUUAAUAGUGAUUGCAUCGAGCAAAUGACGUGUACAUGACAAAAGAAUCAUUCUUACCAAGAAUUAUAUACUUGGAAACAAAUUAAUUUUCUGUGAAUAAGGAAUCUUCAGGCCGGACGGAAGAAUAAAAUUCAAAUUUUUGUGACUAUGGCCUUAGUUCCAAAAUAUUUUGGAAAAUAAGCACGGUAGCACUUUCAUUUGUAUGUGAUAAAUAUUGUCCAAUCAUAGACUAAAUAGGCUCAAAAGAUUCGUCUCACAAAUUACAGACAAACUGUAUAAUUAGUUAUUUUUUAUCUAUAUUUAAUGUUUCAUACAUGUGUUGUAAAAUUCGAUGUAAUAAGAAACGUGAAAAUUUUUUGCAAAAUUUUCUCGAAACUAAACAAGGCCUAUAUACGUUAUCUACACGUAGGUUCAGGGUCGUUUUGGCGUGUAUACUCAGUCCCAUCAUGCAUCUAUAGGACAGAUUGAAUCGACCCAAGUGAACAGGAAAAGGGAACUGACAACUAGUUGUUGCUGUAAUUCAAUCAUCACUCAUUACAUAUAUAAUGGAUUUCUGAUGCGCUAGUACAACCUGUAGUAUACGCAAAGCAGGGUAGACCCUGUGAACCGAAGUCAUGGUCUCAGUCGUCGCUAGUUUCUCUGAUCUAGUACUCUACAUGCUGCUAUGAAUGUUUUAGCAAGCAGAGGGAGAGUCAGGCCUUGUUUAGUUUGCAAAAAUUUUCAAGAUUCCCCAUCACAUCGAAUCUUUAGUCGCAUACAUAGAACAUUAAAUAAAGAUAAAAAUAAAAACUAAUUACACAGUUUAUCUGAAAUCUAUGAGAUGAAUCUUUUGAGUUUAGUUACUCCGUGAUUGAACAAUGUUUGUCAAAUAAAAACGAAAGUGCUACAGUAGCAAAAAAAAAAAACCAAAAUUUUGCCGACUAAACAAGGACUCAGUCAUCGUCUCCUCUUGAGGCUUGUGUAUGGUACAGCACGGCCUUCCUCCAAGUCCAAGUCCAUGUGCGCCACUGCCUGUUUUUCCACUGUCUCCCUAGAUCACGGUGAUGGUUAGAGCAUCUCCAACCAUUAUGCAUUUGAAUUUAUACAUUUUAGGCAAAUUGCGAAUUCCCAAAUGAAAAUGACAAGGCUAAAAUCGGAUGAUCUCCAACCGUUAUGUAAAAUGCCAAGUCCAUCAUCUUUUUUUUCCCGGAAAUUUUGUUUCGCGGCACUCCUUCCCGCGCGGCCUCGAUCCCGCGCCAAACAGCCCGCCGUCGUCUCCCGUUCACCAAUUCCCGCGCCAAACAGCCGCGCAGUACCGACCGUGAGUUGCGCAGUUCGUCGUUCCCGUUCGCAGUACCGAUCUCCCGUUCCGUUAGUUCCCGUUCACCGUACCGUCUGUUGGCCAUCAGUUCGUCGUCGUACAGGUUCGCCCCUUGGCUCCAGUACCGAUCUCCAUCAGGUCGCCGCCAUCAGUCAAGCUGGCGAAGGAGGACGCACGAUGCUUCUCCUAUCGCGUGAAGUGGUGGCGGCGCGAAGGGAAACCGCGCGAAGGGAAGAAAAAAGCUCGCGAGGUGGAACCGAGAAUCCCUUAAUCUCUAUUUGCAUAGCCGGACUCCUUUGGCAUAUAUGCCAAAUUUCCCCCUCCAAAUGCAUAGCUAUGUAAAAUGCAAAGUCCAAAUGCAUAACGAUUGGAGGGGUUUUUUUGGAGUUUUAUGCAUUUUGGUAAAUGCCAAGUCCAUUUGCAUAAUGGUUGGAGUUGCUUUUAUGUUUGCAACUGGAGACUAGUGCAAGCGAAUCUGCUGGGCUACCAAACUAGCAGUCCACUGGUUCAGUUCAGUUCCUGUCAAUUCUUCGGAACAAACCUUCUACUCCCUCCAUUCUAAUUGGAAAUCAUUCCAAGAAUCACGUAGAGUCAAAGCAUUCUCACGUUUGACCAAAAUUAUAGAGAAAAAUAAUAAGAUUUGUAAUGUAAAGUGAGUAUACUAUAAAAAUAUAAUUGAGCAAGAAUCUAAUGAUAUUUAGUUAGUAUCAUAACAAUAAUUAUUUUAUCAUAUAAAUUUGGUCAAACUUAGAAAAGUUUGACUCUGCAAGAUUCUUGGAAUGACUUACAAUUUUGGAUAGAGGGAGUACGUUACUUCGUAGUAGCACGUUCAAACCUUCAGAUGGACGGGAUCAAAUAAGUUCUUUCCAUCGAGCUUAAACCGAUGAAGAUUCGCAAUUACCGAAAUUGGUUGGCUCAUCAUACUCUGCAGUUCUUCAAGAGAAACGAAUGAGUCCGUUAACAUUCCAACUUCAUUAUUCAUGGAUGCCAGAUUCCGGAAAGAAGAGGAUGAGGAAACCAUGCAUAGAAACACGCUUCCAGAAUGCAGAGUUGUGAGAAAACUAAGCGUAAAACACAUUUCCACACUAAUAAAUUGGGUGGAGUUCUCCUAGUGUCUUUAAUUAGUAAUAAAAUACUACCAGUAGUCAUAACACUAGAGAAUACUCAAUAAGAUAAGACACAUUAAGAGAGAAAGUUUGUACUAAAUUUUGAAUGCUAAAACACUAGGAGAAGACCACAUUACUGAGAAAUUGAAAAUUUUGGUUGUGCCAUAACACUGUCAUAGGAAAAAAAAACACAACCAUAGAAUCAACGGUCCAGUCCUAGUCAACAUGGGAGGCAAUGCACCUGGCCAUCUGCGCGUUUCCACUUUACAGCACAGACACACAGCAGGCAGUACAUGUAAGAAUAGCGAUUCAGCAGAGUGCAUGAUGGCAUGGGACCUGAUGAUCCGAGGGAGGCAAUGCAUCUGGCCAUCUGCGUGUUUCCAUAUGUACUGCUAGUAUUGUUUGCUGAUUUAUUGUGAGAGAAAAAUACUACUGACUGGUACAAAAAAUACGGCUUAUAAGACAACCGACCGGAGCCUCAUUAUCAGUCAGAGCAACCAAUAAGCUCUACGCCGCCGCUGCUGCUGGCAAUGAACCGAAAGCCACCACCGGCCAUGGUGCUCCUCAGAAUCAGGCGCUUGCUCCAGCUGCUCCUACUGACCUCCGCUGCAGCAACAACCAGUGCAACGAUCUAUUCGCCAGGCCAUGGCCAUGGCCAUGACCAUGACGAUGAGAGAGCUCUUCUGUCACUCAAGGCCAAGAUCUCCCGCCACUCUGGCGUCCUGGAUUCGUGGAACCAGAGCAGCAGCUACUGCAGCUGGGAGGGCGUCACUUGCGGCAAGAGACACGCGUGGCGGGUGGUCGCUCUGGACCUCAGCUCCCAGGGGCUCGCCGGCACCAUCUCCCCCGCCAUCGGCAACCUCACCUUCCUGCGCUUACUCAACCUGAGCUACAACAGCCUUCAUGGCGAGAUACCUGCUAGCGUUGGCUCCCUCAGGCGCCUUCGACGUCUUCACCUGAGCGGGAACAUGAUCACUGGUGUCAUCCCGAGUAACAUCAGCCGCUGCAUCAGCCUCCGUGGGAUUAUCAUCCAAGACAACAAAGGCCUGCAGGGAAGCAUCCCAGUUGAGAUUGGCAGCAUGCCAGCGCUCUCAGUUCUUGCGCUGGACAACAACAGCAUUACCGGAACCAUCCCGUCGUCUCUUGGGAAUCUUUCACGGCUGGCCGUGCUGUCCUUGCCAAGGAACUUCCUCGAGGGACCAAUCCCUGCAACCAUCGGCAACAAUCCAUAUCUCACCUGGCUUCAGCUCUCUGCUAAUGACCUCUCUGGCUUGCUCCCUCCUUCCCUAUACAACCUAUCAUUUCUUCAGGACUUUUUUGUGGCUAGCAACAAGCUGCAUGGCCAUCUACCAACUGACCUGGGGAAAAGCCUUCCGAGCAUCCAACAGUUUGGGAUUGGAGAAAACCGAUUUACUGGCACACUUCCACUGUCACUGACCAAUCUCUCAAAGCUCCAGACUCUUUAUGCCGGAUUCAAUAGUUUUACUGGAAUUGUUCCCACCGGAUUGAGCAGAUUGCAAAAUCUUGAAUCACUUCUUCUGGAUGACAAUAUGUUAGAGGCAAAUAACGAGGAGGAGUGGGCAUUUAUUGAUUCUUUGGCGAAUUGUAGCGGGUUACAGACACUGUCCAUUGGAAGGAACAGGCUUGCGGGGAAGCUGCCAGGUUCUGUGGCAAAUUUGUCCACUAAUCUCCAGUGGCUACAGAUUCCCUACAACAACAUAUCGGGUGUCAUCCCAUCAGAUAUUGGAAAUUUGGCAAGUCUUCAAAUGCUUGAUUUUCGCAUAAACUUGCUCACUGGGGUCAUUCCUGAAAGCAUAGGGAAGCUUACAUUACUGCAGAAGCUAGGCCUGAUUUCAAACUCCCUCUCAGGACGUCUGCCAUCCUCUAUCGGAAACCUUUCUAGUCUACUUGAAUUUGAUGCAAACGGCAAUAGCUUCUACGGGCCAAUUCCACCAAGCAUUGGAAACUUGAGCAAACUUUUAGGCCUAGAUCUGUCAUAUAACAAGCUUACUGGACUGAUUCCUAGAGAAAUUAUGGAGCUGCCAUCGAUCUCAAUUGAUCUUGAUCUGUCCAACAGCAUGUUGGAGGGAGCACUUCCAUUAGAAGUUGGUAGCUUGGUAUAUCUUGAACAGCUCUUCCUAUCAGGAAACAAUUUGUCAGGUGAGAUACCUGAUACUAUUGGCAAUUGCAGGGUCAUGGAAAUCCUCUCAAUGGAUGGCAAUUCACUCCAAGGAAGCAUACCUGCUACAUUCAAGAACAUGGUAGGCUUGACUGUACUUAAUUUGACGGACAACAGGCUGAAUGGAAGCAUCCCUAGCAACCUGGCUACCCUUACCAACCUACAGGGUUUGUAUCUUGGCCACAAUAAAUUAUCUGGAACAAUCCCAGAGAUUUUAGGUAAUUCAACAUCGCUGCUUCACCUAGAUCUGUCUUACAAUAAUUUGCAAGGUGAAAUACCAAAAGGAGGAGUUUUCAAAAAUUUGACUGGACUAUCAAUUGUUGGUAACAAUGAGUUAUGCGGGGGAAUACCACCGCUCCAUCUGCCAAAAUGCCCAAGCUCUUGCACAAGAAAGAAUAGAAAAGGCAUACCCAAGUUUCUUAGAAUAGCAAUCCCAACAAUAGGAAGUCUCAUCUUACUUUUUCUGGUUUGGGCUGGAUUUCACCACAGAAAGUCCAAGACAGCACCGAAGAAAGAUUUACCAACAGAAUUUCCAGAGAUAGAGCUUCCAAUAGUUCCAUACAACGAUAUACUGAAAGGAACAGACAGAUUUUCUGAAGCAAACGUGCUUGGAAAGGGAAGAUAUGGUACAGUAUAUAAGGGCACCCUAGAAAAUCAAGCCAUUGUUGUAGCUGUUAAGGUAUUCAAUCUCCAGCUAUCAGGGUCAUAUAAAAGUUUCCAGGCGGAAUGUGAGGCACUAAGGAGAGUAAAGCACCGAUGCCUUGUAAAAAUCAUCACAUGUUGUUCAAGCAUCGACCACCAAGGUCAGGACUUUAGAGCACUAGUCUUUGAGUUGAUGCCUAAUGGAAGCUUAGAUAGAUUGAUCCAUUCAAAUUUAGAAGGCCAAAAUGGCCAAGGAGCACUCAGCUUGUCACAGUGGCUGGAUAUAGCUGUGGACAUUGUGGAUGCUUUGGACUAUCUUCAUAACGGUUGCCAGCCAUCGAUCAUCCAUUGCGAUCUAAAGCCAAGUAACAUUCUUCUCAAUCAGGACAUGAGGGCUCGUGUUGGGGAUUUUGGAAUUGCUAGAGUUCUAGAUGAAGCAACAAGCAAACAUCCUGUGAAUUCUGGGAGCACAUUAGGAAUAAGAGGUUCCAUCGGUUACAUUGCGCCAGGUAGCUCUAAUUUGUUGUUCUGUUUCCCAUGUGCUUCACAUGAUAGCAUCCAAUUAAUUAUCCCUAGGCCCAUCAAAUAUUGUACAUACCUACAUGUGUUCAUGUUUUAAUCCAAUGCAGAAUAUGGAGAAGGUCUUGCAGUAUCGACUUGCGGUGACAUGUUUAGUCUUGGUAUCACCUUGCUAGAGAUAUUCACAGCAAAAAGGCCAACAGAUGAUAUGUUCAGAGAUGGUUUAAGCCUACAUGGUUAUGCUGAGGCGGCUCUUCCUGACAAAGUUAUGGAGAUAGCAGAUUCCAACCUAUGGCUGCAUGAUGAAGCAAGCAAUAGCAAUGAUACAAGGCAUAUAACAAGAAGCAGGAAAUGUUUGUCCGCCAUCAUUCAGCUUGGUGUCCUUUGCUCAAAGCAAUUGCCCUCAGAGCGUUUGUCAAUAAGCGAUGCUACUGCAGAGAUGCAUGCUAUCAGAGAUAAGUAUAUUAGUGCUCAGUGAUGUCAGAUUGGCUACCAUGUUUGUCUAAUUUUAUUGUCAAAGUCCAUAUGUAAUAUAUUUGCUUCUUUUUUGCUUGUGAGUUUGUAGACCUUAUAUUAGUUGGUAUUGUUAUGGUGCUGUGUUGCCAAUACCAUAGGCAGCAUCAUUCAUGAAUCAUGAAAGAAAUUUUGAUUAUCCUGAGAAAAAUCCACAUUUCCGACUAGUUCCCACCUCAAAGUUGAACCCCACCGUUAUAAACACAAGAAUGUGCACAAUAUGCAGUAAUUUGCAAAGUUGAAAAAGAAUAUCAUUGUGACAUGCAUUAUGAAACACAUGUGGUGACAUGCUAUUACAGUAAGGCAAUGUGUGGCGACCCACUCCCCUCACAACGCCUAGGCGCAUAAGGUGCGAGGUGAAGCGAUGCCAUGGACAUAUAAUGAACAUGCUAUUACAGUGUUGGAAAAGUGAUCCCGGGCUAGUGGAGAUGGGCCAAUGCCCAGAACCAUUGAGCCCAAGUCAGGGGGGGGGGGGGGGGGGCACGUAGCUCCUCUGUGCGCCAUGAUCGGGGGCGGCCCCUAACAACCUAAGGUUGUGGCCCCAAGCUGAGACUGAGAGGCACUACAUGUAGUGGGAAGACAGUUACCUGUGUGAGUCAACGCAUGCACAAAAGUGCCCUCCCCGGAUCAAGAAGAGGCUGUGCUACGAGGUGGCACUGGUGGAUCAGAGGUGAGGUGGUACGUCUGCAAUCUCGAUCUACUUCGCUGAUGGUGGACUAUCCAGCUCUAGAUUAUGGUUAGUCACCAAUUCACAUUAGAUUAAAUUGUGUCCAAGUGAUUAGAUCAGAGAUCCUGUGGUUCACUCCCCAAUUUAUCCAAUAUUGUGGCAUCCGAGCCAACUGAUCUAGUUGCUGGACCACUGAUGCGUCGAUUUCACCUCGGAUUAAGUUAAUUUUGAGGUGAAAUUACCUGUUUAGUGCCCUAAUUGCUCUCGGUUGUGCUUAAUUAGCCAUGCUGACGAUGUUCCAGGCCCUAUUUAAUCAUGCUCUAAGACAAUUAAGUGUCUGGUUAUGCCUAAACCUAAUUAUGCAUGUUUAGGGCCCAGGUUUAGUUAAUCAUAAUGAUUAGUCACGGGUUAAUGAUGUUGUGCCCAAUUUGAUGCCUACUUGCUAACAGAUUUUAGUCCUAAUAAUUGUGUAUGAAAUCGUGGCAAAAUUCACGUGCGGGGCUAAGGUUCGGAUCAGCAUGUAGACGUGGGGGAGUCAUGUAAAUCUCAAAAAAAACUCUCCAAAUUACCGAACCCUAGAUCAUGAUUUUCGGGAUGAUUACCUCGGUUUGGUGUCGCUGUCGGCUGUCGCUGCUAGGUGUCCGCUCGUGCAGCCUUGCCGGACGCGCCAUCAGGCGUGCGCAGGCGAUCUCGCACGCAUGAGCUGGCAGCCUGGCAGAGUGCCACCGAUGCCACGCGCGCAUCAGGGAGGCACCGCAACUGCGCCGACCGCGGACCACGCCGCGCAUCAGGGUGCCGCUCUCGCGCGGCCGCCGCACAUAAGGGCGGCGACGGAGCCGCCGCGCGCCGUGCUGCACAGGCCAUCACGCGGCUUCCGCUUCGCCACCGUGCUGCACAGACCUCCCGAGCGCAGUCUUCACCGGCACCGGCGACGAGCCGCUCGUCAGAGCCGCACCGCACGCGCGCUCCGGCGAGUGGGCCGUCGCCAGAUUCCCAGCAGCUGACCCUGCUUGCGUGAAAACCAUCGGAUGGUCGUUAUAGUUGCGGGCCAUAAGUGGGCUGGCAAGCUUGACGAGCGGGUAACCGUCAUCGCGGCCCAUUAAGCUAGUGCGGGUGCACGUUAAGCCAGUGUGGUAUGCUUUUAUUGUUUUUUAGCCAUGCGUUUGGC
This 13556-nucleotide long non-coding RNA is filed under the name Sorghum bicolor (sorghum). Its description in RNAcentral is "long non-coding RNA (SBIC_LNC002033)". Lineage: Eukaryota; Viridiplantae; Streptophyta; Magnoliopsida; Poales; Poaceae. The record is from RNAcentral.